RNAcentral lists this long non-coding RNA (212 nucleotides) under Volvox carteri. RNAcentral's name for it is "long non-coding RNA (VCAR_LNC002834)". The record is from RNAcentral. Lineage: Eukaryota; Viridiplantae; Chlorophyta; Chlorophyceae; Chlamydomonadales; Volvocaceae.
GCUGUGAUUGGGGCCACGCCGCCGGGCCCACCGUCGGCCCCGUCGGCGGUAGGAAACCUAGACAACAGGUCCGAGGGGCCGCCGUGCGCCGGCGGCAGCGACACAUGCGGAAUUGGCGCCAGGACCGGAGCUCCUCCCUUGGGCAGGUUGAGGCAGUGUUCGCACCUGUUCACAGACCGCAAGUAAGCCAUAUGGAGUUUCCUUAAAUGUAU